GUGUCAGCCGCCGCGGUAAUACGGAGGGGGUUAGCGUUGUUCGGAAUUACUGGGCGUAAAGCGCACGUAGGCGGAUCAGAAAGUUGGGGGUGAAAUCCCGGGGCUCAACCCCGGAACUGCCUCCAAAACUUCUGGUCUGGAGUUCGAGAGAGGUGAGUGGAAUUCCGAGUGUAGAGGUGAAAUUCGUAGAUAUUCGGAGGAACACCAGUGGCGAAGGCGGCUCACUGGCUCGAUACUGACGCUGAGGUGCGAAAGUGUGGGGAGCAAACAGGAUUAGAUACCCUGGUAGUCCACACCGUAAACGAUGAAUGCCAGUCGUCGGGUAGCAUGCUAUUCGGUGACACACCUAACGGAUUAAGCAUUCCGCCUGGGGAGUACGGCCGCAAGGUUAAAACUCAAAUGAAUUGACGGGG
Molecule: ribosomal RNA, 413 nt
Filed under: uncultured prokaryote
Description: bacterial SSU rRNA
Rfam family: Bacterial small subunit ribosomal RNA
Source: RNAcentral